This 3370-nucleotide long non-coding RNA is filed under the name Eucalyptus grandis. Its description in RNAcentral is "long non-coding RNA (EGRA_LNC007790)". Lineage: Eukaryota; Viridiplantae; Streptophyta; Magnoliopsida; Myrtales; Myrtaceae. The record is from RNAcentral.
UCUUUCCCGCUCUCCCGCAGGCUCUCUCUCUGGGGGGGCUCUUUCUCUCUGGGGAUUUUUCUCUCUUUCCCGGGUUCUCUCUGGGGGGAUCUCUCUCCUUUCUCCUUGUCCGCACCAGAAACCCUAGGCCGGAAACCCCCGAUCUCUGCCGGGAUCGGAGUUCACGAGUAGGAGAGGAAUCGAUUCGACUCCGAGAAGAACCGGCGACAGUGACGAAACACCGCACGCUCCGGAGUCUCGCCUUAAAGGAACCGCCGCUCAGAGAGCAGCUUCCCCUCCGAUCGAAUCGCGCCGCCGUCGCCGCUGUCGCCGUCGCCGCCGUCGCCGUCGCCGCCGUCGCCGUCGCCGUCCUCUCGGCGAAUCUCGGCUCCCGCCGGCCUCGGACGGUCAUCUUCAUGCCCGCGUUUCCCCGAGGUUCGCUGGCUUUUCUUGACCUCUUGUGCUGAGAUUCUUUUUGCGUGUCGAUUUUUGGUGUGAGGAGCUCUCUAGUUGAGUCGGUGCGACGUUCGGACGCUGACUUUGGCGGACUGUCAUCCUCUCUCUCUCUCUCGAUUUUUCGUGAGCUCCGAUCGGAGGUGAGGGUUUUCCUCUCUCUCUAUUCCUCUCUCUUAUUUGCUCUGUCUCGCGCAAGUUCUGUCGCUCUCUCUUAGAUCGUUCUCUCUGGCUCGAUCAUGAUCUGUAUAUGGAAAAACGCUAGGUUCUGUGUCUGGUGUUGAAGUAGAUCAGGAUUUCUGUUGUAGAACAGAACUAGUUGUGAUUGGAUUUCAUGGUCAAAAUACAAGAGUAAUGUUGCUGCGAAUGAUAGCUGUGUGAUUUUAAGUUGCUAAUUCUCCCUUUGCGUUUUGGUCAUUAAGCUGAGAUGGCUGCCAUAUGUUUGUGAAAAUGCCUGAAUGAAUAUCUACAUAGUAUCUUCAUCAGUCUAUAUGCAAAAUGUUCAUGGCUUACUUAAAUCAUGAUGCCCAUAUUGAUUUCAUCUUGUUUAAUGUUGAUCCAAUCAAUCUGAAUAAUUUCAACAUUAUGGCAUGCUUAAAACUUGUGCUCACUGGCCUCGCCGACUUCAAGUGAUAUUCGUUUCCACUUCGAAUCAGAUUGAGUUUUAGAAAGUAAUAAAUCUUUGUUCUGGUCUUGUUUUACUAAAAUUUAGGAAGUUUUCUCGAUCAAGUAGAGAUCUAUUGAUAGAUGAAACUGAUGGCUGAAGUUGGCGGAUAUAAGUAGAAAUUUGUAGAAAUAGAAACAUGAUUUGUUACUUUUGUCGACCAUUUUUAAGGUUGUAAGGUUUGCUGUGAUUCAUUUUUAGAACUAUUCUUUACCAUUAGUUAUGCAUUAUGUUCUAAUUCAUUUGUGGCUGAUUUGCAUGUGCUCAUGAUGAUCAUUUUUUCAACUAUCAAUUUGACGGCAAUUGGAAUCAACUUCUCUUAAGAAGUGGGCUUGUUUUAAUCUUUCCUAUGAUGCUGAUCUCGCAUGAUUUGUAAUGAGUUGAUGAUUAUUGAUGAUGAACUUGAAGUUGAUUGAAUUUGAUUUGCCUUGAUCUGCAAAUUCGUAUACCUGAUAUAUCACUUUCUGUUUUGGCUGAAACGAGGUGUUAGAUAAGUUUUUUUGACUUCGAGCCCUUCUAGACAUAUAAAAUACACCUCUAGAGCUUCGAUUUGAUAUGUUGCACGCCCCGAACGGACGUCGUUCAGUCAUCGAAAAACAUCUACAGAAUCUGUUGAUUCUAUAGUAGUUUUAGAUUGAUUUGCUGUUCUAAUUGAUUCUCUGUUUCGGAUAACCUUUUGUGCAAAUGACCUGAUAUGAGCUAGUUGCUGUGGUUUUCUGUGUUUGAUGCCUUCAUGAGAGCUGAAGAUGGUUCGACUAGCUUUCCAACGAGCUAUAAUACACCCUGAUCCAAUAUCAUUAGCCACAUGAAAUCUUCUUUAAAAGUUAGAAAGUAAUUUUGGAAAAUUGUUGUGUUCUGCUUUGAUGUGGAAAUUUGUAUGCCUAUUUUGACUGAUAUGCUUCGGUCCUCAAAAUGAGCUGGUAGAUGAUGUUAUUAGGAUUUAAUGUCUUCUAGAUAAUUGUAAUAGGCAUCUCAAGCUUUAAAAUGACAUAUUGCAUGCUUGAAUCAACCAUCAUUUGCCAUGUUUAACAAUUUUUUUUUUUUCUAAUCCAUUCUGAAAUCUGGAAUUUUGCCUUGGUCAGAAAUGCAUAUUCUGUUUUUGCGUGGGUUUGAUUGUCUGCCACUUUCCUAUGAUCUUUUAAGCAUAGAUUUUGAGGUUGAUGAUACAAAAAAAAGUAUAUCACGUGUGGAAUGGUCUUGCUCUAUUGUUCUCUUUUUUUUAGCAAAGUUCUGUUGUUUGAUAAUUGAUAUUAGAUAUCCACCAUCAAUCCAAUUUCUAAUACUAAUCACUUUACCUAGUAGCUUAUUUGUAUUCUACUGAUCCAAGCUCUGUGUUUUUGUUUGUAAAGAUGUCCAGAGCUAUGUUGUUCUUUAGUGUCAAUUUUUCUUUGCUUGCUGUCUUUUCUUAUUUCUGACUUCCAAGCUCCUUUUGGCUUUCUUGAAGUUGUAUAUCUUUUCAUGAUACACUCCAUUUGUGAAUAUAAGUAUGCUAUAAUUGCUGCUCUAUUCUUGUGUAGAUUGUUUUUAGCCAAUUGAUACAUCUCUGCUCUUGAAUUUUUUUAGAAAAAAUAUGCAUACUGAAUCUGAAAAAAUGUUGUCUUUUCUAUGGCUAAUUGCAAUUGAAAUUUGUCAAGCGUGACAUUCUUAGUUCCAAGUCACUUUGCAAUGUUAAUGACUUGUGUGACUUCUUUGCAUUCUGAUUUAGGGUUAAAUGUUUACCCAAACCUUUUUCGCAUUCAACCUUAUGUCAUGUGCAAGUUUCACAUUUUUGUAUAUUGUCUAGGUGAUCUUACGAACUUUUAAACAUGCCUUGUAUUUUGUCCUGUUUGUGACUUGAAUUUGCUAGAUUCAUGUUCAUGUCUGAUACCUAUGUCUGUUCGUUAUAAUAAUGAUUUCUAUGCGUUGUCUUAGUCAUAUAAGAUGAUGCAAGGGAUCUUUGUUUCUUAGAUUAGGUUUAGAUUAGGAUGAAGAUGGAGAAGGCCCCCAGGCGUAAAGAUGGUGGAGGUCGAUGUCCACUCCGACCGUUAUCAUGUAAUGCUCAUUUUUCCUGACACAUGUCUCGGGUUCCAUGUAUUGUAUAAAACCCGACGAGUUGCGGGUUUCCUUUCUUUCCCAAUUGUUAUCUCUUUUAUAUUUUUUAGAAUUGCAUGAUUAGAUUUAACUGCUUUUCUUGAUUGUUUACUUCAUGUCUUGCAAUUUCAUUUUCAUUGUUUGUUUUCCUUUCAUUUCUUAGGAAUAGAAUAUAAUGAAAGUAAUCCACCACGCAUGAUCAUU